GUGGGGAAUCUUAGACAAUGGGCGCAAGCCUGAUCUAGCCAUGCCGCGUGAGCGAUGAAGGCCUUAGGGUUGUAAAGCUCUUUCGUGGGGGAAGAUAAUGACUGUACCCCAAGAAGAAGCCCCGGCUAACUCCGUGCCAGCAGCCGCGGUAAUACGGAGGGGGCUAGCGUUGUUCGGAAUUACUGGGCGUAAAGCGCACGUAGGCGGACUGGAAAGUCAGGGGUGAAAUCCCGGGGCUCAACCCCGGAACUGCCUUUGAAACUCCCAGUCUUGAGUUCGAGAGAGGUGAGUGGAAUUCCGAGUGUAGAGGUGAAAUUCGUAGAUAUUCGGAGGAACACCAGUGGCGAAGGCGGCUCACUGGCUCGAUACUGACGCUGAGGUGCAAAAGCGUGGGGAGCAAACAGGAUUAGAAACCCCGGUAGUCC
RNAcentral lists this ribosomal RNA (425 nucleotides) under uncultured bacterium. Its description in RNAcentral is "partial 16S ribosomal RNA". It matches the Rfam family "Bacterial small subunit ribosomal RNA", at positions 354 to 796 of the family's 1533-position model. The record is from RNAcentral.